Long non-coding RNA from Solanum pennellii, 1033 nucleotides. RefSeq lists it as uncharacterized. The record is from RefSeq and is a predicted model, not a curated record. NCBI's taxonomy places the organism in Eukaryota, Viridiplantae, Streptophyta, Magnoliopsida, Solanales, Solanaceae. The transcript is spliced from 3 exons.
AUUCACCCCAUAAAAAAUUUCUUCAUUACUACACUCUUGUAAAAAUGCUGUUUCAGGAAAUUAUUAUUUCUUAUGGAUUCAGAAAUGGGAAAAAUACAAUUGUAAUGAGAGAAACGGAGUCUUCAAUCAAAUAUUGUAAAAAUAUCAAUUUGAAUUUAAUCAUAUUUGCUGAUUGCACUGAGGAAAAAUCAAUUGACUUAAAUGAACCCAACAAUUAUGCCAGAGGAGGUACUGAAACUUGUCACCUCGUAAAUAGUGUUAAAAAUAUUGAUCUCAUUUCAUUAGAACGUCUGCUCUUCCGAAAUUCAUAAUUAUUACAUGCUCUGACAACUUCAUUUUUUCAGAAUAUGUAUGAGUAUUUUAAAUUGUUAAUUAGUCUGACUAUAUAAGAAUAUGUAUAUUCUCUUUGUUUUCAUUUGUCAAAAGUAACCUUGACAUGUUGAAUAUGUUAUUUCAUGACACACAUGCCUUUGAUGCAAUGUGUGAUAAUGAUACUAAGCAAAAUAGGUCCAUUACUAUUCAAAAUUUAGAAUGAAGAAGAUGAACACUAUGAUGCUCAAAAUGAUGAAAUUUCUUAUUAUAGGGAAAUGCAGUAUCAGGUAAUAUGAUUAGAGUAGUCAAUUUAUUAUUAUUUUUGCAAAUAACAUUGAAAAAGAGCGUUAUUUAUAAACUUAUGAAGCAGAACAAGUAUCAAUCAACCAAGAUGAAAAUUUAUAGCGACUCUUGCUGCAUAUGUUUGGGUACUUCUGAUGAUGGGGGAGAACUAGGAAUAACCAACUGUGGACAUAAAAAUUCAUUUUCAAUGCAUUAGAAAGUGGCUGAAGAGAAACAAUUCUUGUCCUGUUUGCAGAAAGAUUGUUUUGACUCCAUAGGAUACGAGCCUUUGGUUCUCAUUUAAAACAAAAAAAAUUCUCAAGCCACAUUUUCAGUUGAUUAACUUGGUGGAGACACUACAUACUUCUGUGUCUUGUUUAUUGAUGGAGUAGAAUUAUUCAAAUGAUAAAUCUAUGGAUAUAAAUUUUUUUGCUUUCAA